RNAcentral lists this small RNA (4325 nucleotides) under Pan troglodytes (chimpanzee). RNAcentral describes it as "retained intron". Lineage: Eukaryota; Metazoa; Chordata; Mammalia; Primates; Hominidae. The record is from RNAcentral.
GUCGCUACCGCUGCGGCCCAGGGCCCGCGGGAGCCCAGGGCGGUGCCGGGUGAGACAAGGCCGGGGUUUGGCUCGGAUUCACCGCGAGGUAUCUAGGCUGCCAUGAUGCCAGGGCCAAGACCUCGGAAGGGCCCUCAGGCCAGAGGCCAAGGGGUGGCCGCUGCCAAGCAGAUGGGGCUCUUUAUGGAGUUUGGCCCUGAGGACAUGCUGCUGGGCAUGGAUGAGGCUGAAGAUGAUGAGGACCUGGAGGCUGAGCUGCUGGCUCUCACAGGGGAAGCACAAACCACAGGCAAGAAGCCAGCACCCAAGGGGCAGGCCCCCCUGCCCAUGGCCCACAUCGAGAAGUUGGCGGCAGACUGUAUGCGGGAUGUGGAGGAGGAGGAGGAGGAGGAAGGGCUGGAGGAAGAUGCAGAGCUGCUGGUGUGUCUGCCAGGCUGGUAUCCCAGGGCUCUGAGACGGAGCUGCAGGAGGUCUUAGGUGUGGACGAGGAGACUGAGCCCCUGGAUGGUGAUGAGGUAGCUGACCCAGGCGGCUCUGAGGAGGAGAACGGCCUAGAAGACACUGAACCUCCAGUGCAGACAGCCGUCCUGACAGCUUCAGCCCCAGCAGCUCAGGUGGGUUCUGGAGGAGGGCCCCUGUGCCUCUGAUGCUCCUGUGCGCCCAGACGUAACACGUGUGUGGCCUGGCCUGCACAACAAGGCUGCAGUCACCCUUUCCAGGACCCUCCUCCAGCAGCCGCCCCAAGCAGAAACUGAGCACAAGAAACUCCUCCGUGGCAGCCAGCCUCAAAGGCCUCUCUGUUCUCCUAGACUACCCCCCGGGAGCCAUAUCCUGGCUUCCACCAAGUGGGGCUCUGUAUUUGCCUCUGCCAUGGCCUCUGGCCUCUCCAGUGAGCCUUUGCUUCCUGCCUUAAGGCUUUUAGGCUCUUUUUUCUCCUGGAGUCCCAGAGCUCCAUCUUCUAGGGCAGCUUCCGCAGAGGGAGAAUGGUAGGCCUAGCAGGCCCUGGAGUGGCCAGGCCCUUAGCUGAAUUGUUCAUAGGCCGGAGCAUCUCAGGGGCUACACGCUUUGCUGGAGGAACGGAUUCACAACUACCGAGAGGCUGCGGCCAGUGCCAAGGAGGCAGGCGAAGCAGCCAAAGCCAGGCGCUGCGAGCGCGGCCUGAAGACCUUGGAGUCGCAGCUAGCCUCUGUGAGGAGAGGCAGAAAGAUCAAUGAGGAUGAGAUCCCACCUCCAGUGGCCUUAGGAAAGCGGCCCCUGGCCCCCCAGGAACCAGCCAACAGGAGCCCUGAGACAGACCCUCCAGCUCCCCCUGCCUUGGAGUCAGACAACCCCUCCCAACCUGAGACCAGCCUCCCUGGCAUUUCUGCCCAGCCCGUUUCAGACUUAGACCCAGACCCGCGGGCCCUGCUGUCAUCCCGACAGAGAGAGUACAAAGUGGCUGCCCUCAGUGCCAAGCGGGCUGGAGAGCUAGACCGUGCCCGAGAGCUCAUGAGGAUUGGGAAGAGAUUCGGUGCUGUCCUGGAGGCCCUGGAGAAGGGGCAGCCCGUGGAUCUGAGUGCCAUGCCCCCGGCACCUGAGGAUCUGAAGCCCCAGCAGGCUUCUCAGGCCCCCACAGCACCCUCAGUCAUUCCCCCAGCCGUGGAGCGAGUGCAGCCAGUGAUGGCCCCUGACGUCCCAGCAACCCCAGUGGCCCCUACAGAGUCACAGACAGUGCUGGAUGCCCUGCAGCAGAGGCUGAACAAGUACCGCGAGGCGGGCAUCCAGGCCCGGAGUGGUGGGGACGAGCGCAAGGCUCGGAUGCAUGAGCGCAUUGCCAAGCAAUAUCAAGAUGCUAUUCGAGCACACCGAGCAGGACGGAAAGUCAACUUUGCUGAAUUGCCUGUUCCUCCAGGAUUUCCCCCCAUCCCUGGCCUGGAGUCCACUAUGGGUGUUGAGGAGGACGCAGUGGCAGCGACAUUGGCAGCUGCAGAGAAACUGGCCUCCGCAGAGGAUUCAGCCCCGGCUGAUAAAGACGAGGACGAGGUUUGGUUGAGGGCUCAACUCCAGGGCUGGUGGGAAGAAUAGCAGGUGAGGGGUAAACCCAGAUCCUGUUGUCCAUACUAACAAGCCCAAUAAGGUACAUAUUCUUUCCUCCACUGUACAGAGAAAAAACUUGCCCAAGGACACCCAGCUAGGAAAUAGAACUAGGAUUCAAACCAAGGUCUUUCUGAACCCAGAGCCCUGGCUCCAUCCCCAUUACCCUGCAGUCUCUCUCCUGUUGGGGAGGUUAGAUGUGAGAGCUUCUGAGGCUGCUUCUAGCUCUCAGAUCUUUUAGGACCCAGGAAGAGAAGCCACCCAUCUCAGGUCACACAGCGAUGUAGUACAGUGUUAGGAAGACAGCCCAAGUCUGGGAGCCGCCAUGACUAUGCUAGGGAACACAUCCCCUCCUAACAGCCUCCUGGGCACCUGCAGGGUGAGCCCCCAGCACAGGCCCCAGUGGCCAAGAAACCUGCACGGCCCACAGUCCCUUCAUCCCAGCGCCUGCCUGAGCCCAGGGCCUCAAGUUCUAAGGAGUCACCGAGUCCAUCUGUGCGGGAGCAGCUGGCACUGCUGGAGGCACGGAAACUGCAGUAUCAGCGGGCAGCCCUGCAGGCCAAGCGCAGCCAGGACCUGGAGCAGGCCAAAGCCUAUCUGCGGGUAGCCAAAUGUCUUGAGGCUCAGAUCAUCCAGGCCCGAUCUGGCAGACCUAUUGAUCUGUCCAAGGUGCCUUCGCCCUUGACGGAUGAGGAGGGCGACUUCAUCCUCAUCCACCAUGAGGACCUGCGACUCUCCCAGAAGGCGGAGGAGGUGUAUGCCCAGCUGCAAAAAAUGCUUCUGGAGCAACAAGAGAAGUGCCUGCUGUUCUCCAAGCAGUUCAUGCACCAGGGCAACGUGGCUGAGACCACCCGAUUUGAGAAGCUUGCUCAGGACCGCAAGAAACAGCUGGAGAUCCUGCAGCUGGCCCAGGCUCAGGGCCUCGACCCUCCCACCCACCACUUUGAGUUGAAGACAUUCCAGACUGUGAGGAUCUUCUCAGAACUCAACAGCACAGAAAUGCAUCUGAUCAUUGUCCGGGGAAUGAACCUCCCAGCCCCUCCAGGGGUGACUCCCGAUGACCUGGAUGCUUUUGUGCGGUUUGAGUUUCACUACCCUAACUCGGACCAGGCUCAAAAAAGCAAAACAGCUGUGGUGAAGAACACAAACUCUCCAGAAUUUGAUCAACUCUUCAAACUAAACAUCAACCGAAACCACCGGGGCUUCAAGAGAGUGAUCCAGAGCAAAGGCAUCAAGUUUGAGAUCUUCCACAAAGGGUCCUUCUUCAGAAGCGACAAGCUGGUUGGCACAGCACACCUGAAACUGGAGCGCCUGGAGAAUGAGUGUGAAAUCAGAGAAAUUGUGGAGAUGGAGAGGUUCAGAAGGUCUGAGAAAUCUCAUAGAGGGACCCAGGAGAAGGCAGCCUCCUUGUUUCCAGGAACUCAAUGGAUUCCACAGGUCCUGGAUGGAAGGAAGCCCACCGGGGGGAAGCUGGAGGUGAAGGUGAGGCUGCGGGAGCCUCUGAGUGGCCAGGAUGUGCAGAUGGUCACUGAGAACUGGCUGGUUCUGGAGCCCAGGGGCUUGUGAGCCGAUGGCCAGCACCAGGAGAGGAGUCAGGCCGCGACUGUGCAGGAGUUGACUUUCCCAGCUUUGCUGGCUUCAGAAGCCUUUGUACAUAAGAGAUGCUGCUACCCAAGCACCAAAGACCUGUUAAGCAUGUGCACUACUGACCACGACUUUCCUGUUGUUGGCCCCUCUGGGGCUCUACAGAAACAGACUGGGUUCCAGGAGCCCAUCUCACCGCUGUCUCCCCCUGCCCCGAGUCUGGAAGAGGGCAAGGACACUUCCAUUCCUCUGUACCAUGGAGUCCUGCAGCCCCUUAACCCCUGCGUGGCAACUGUGUACAGCUUACCCCUGCCUCCAGUUGCACCACUUCUAGAUGUGCCUUUAAAAGAUGUAACUAUGAGAUGGGAGAACUUGAGGGUGAUCGGGAACCUCCCCUGCUGAGGGUGGUGUCAGGGUUCUGUGACUCCAGUGGGCCAGUGGUAGCCUGUCCCAGACAACUCCGUCACCCCAGCUCUGCCUGUGCCUUUAUCCCUGACAGCUGCUGCACUAGCCUUCCUGCUUCCCUAAGGACUUAGUGGAGGGGGAAAGUUGUUUUUGGUACUACUUGGUGGGAAGUAAGGGGAAGGUUGGAUCUUGGGUUUGGUCUACCCACCCAAGAGAAAAGACUGUUAACUGGAAGAAAAAAUAUAUAUAUAAAAUUUUAUGUA